AUGGCAUCGUCUUCGGGUCGGCGCGCGGUGGCUCUGGCAGCGCUCGUGGUCGUCUUUCUGGUCGCCGGAGCGGGCCUUGCUGGCGCGGCGCGGCCGGCACCGGCGGAGAGGAGCGGGGACGGCGCGAUGUACUCGGCGGUGUACCCGGCCGCGGUGGUGGUGGCGGACAGGGCGAGGGAGACGGUGGAGAUGCUCAUGGCGAGGCUGCCGGCUGGGCCCAGCCCCAAGGGCCCCGGCCACUAG
Molecule: ribosomal RNA, 243 nt
Filed under: Triticum aestivum (bread wheat)
Lineage: Eukaryota; Viridiplantae; Streptophyta; Magnoliopsida; Poales; Poaceae
Description: partial small subunit ribosomal RNA
Source: RNAcentral